This 479-nucleotide ribosomal RNA is filed under the name Nostoc sp. HG1. RNAcentral's name for it is "partial 23S ribosomal RNA". It matches the Rfam family "Bacterial large subunit ribosomal RNA", at positions 1641 to 2099 of the family's 2925-position model. Lineage: Bacteria; Bacillati; Cyanobacteriota; Cyanophyceae; Nostocales; Nostocaceae. The record is from RNAcentral.
CCCGUACCCCAAACCGACUCAGGUGAUCAGGUAGAGAAUACUAAGGCGAUCGAGAUAACCAUGGUUAAGGAACUCGGCAAAAUGCCCCCGUAACUUCGGGAGAAGGGGGGCCCGGAGCGUGAACCCACUUGCUGGGGGAUGCGUGAAGGGCCGCAGAGACCAGGCCCAAGCGACUGUUUACUAAAAACACGGUCCGUGCGAAGUUGUAAGACGAUGUAUACGGACUGACUCCUGCCCGGUGCUGGAAGGUUAAGAGGACCGGUUAGAUCACGUAAGUGGUCGAAGCUGAGAAUUUAAGCCCCAGUAAACGGCGGUGGUAACUAUAACCAUCCUAAGGUAGCGAAAUUCCUUGUCGGGUAAGUCCGACCCGCACGAAAGGCGAACGAUCUGGAUGGUGUCUCAGAGAGAGACUCGGCGAAAUAGGAAUGUCUGUGAAGAUACGGACUGCCUGCACCUGGACAGAAAGACCCUAAUGAAGC